AAACGGCCGCGGUACCCUAACCGUGCAAAGGUAGCAUAAUCAUUUGCCUUUUAAUUGGAGGCUGGUAUGAAUGGUUUGACGAGAGCUAUGCUGUCUCUUUUAAAAUAUUUAAAAAUUAACUUUUAGGUGAAGAGGCCUAAAUUUAUUUAAGGGACAAGAAGACCCUGUUGAGCUUUAGUGAUGUUGUAAACGAUGAAGAAUAAGUUAUUAUUGAUUUGUUGUGUAUUUAUUAUAAUAAAAGUUUGCAGAUAAUCUUUAGUUGGGGCGACUGAGGAACAUAAAAAGCUUCCUUGUAUAUAAAUUAUUUAAGUAAUUGAAUAAAUUAAUGCUUAUGUGUUAUUUUGAUCCAAAUUAUUUUGAUUAAGAGAAAAAGUUACCACAGGGAUAACAGCGUAAUCUUUCUGGAGAGAUCUUAUCGAAAGAAGGGUUUGCGACCUCG
RNAcentral lists this ribosomal RNA (439 nucleotides) under Steromphala umbilicaris. RNAcentral's name for it is "partial 16S ribosomal RNA". It matches the Rfam family "Bacterial large subunit ribosomal RNA", at positions 1925 to 2528 of the family's 2925-position model. Lineage: Eukaryota; Metazoa; Mollusca; Gastropoda; Trochida; Trochidae. The record is from RNAcentral.